GCCUAACACAUGCAAGUCGAACGGAGUGCUUCGGCACUUAGUGGCGGACGGGUGAGUAACGCGUGAGAAUUUGGCUUCAGGUCGGGGACAACAGUUGGAAACGACUGCUAAUACCGGAUGUGCCGGAAGGUGAAAGAUUUAUCGCCUGAAGAUAAGCUCGCGUCUGAUUAGCUAGUUGGUAGUGUAAGGGACUACCAAGGCGACGAUCAGUAGCUGGUCUGAGAGGAUGAUCAGCCACACUGGGACUGAGACACGGCCCAGACUCCUACGGGAGGCAGCAGUGGGGAAUUUUCCGCAAUGGGCGAAAGCCUGACGGAGCAAUACCGCGUGAGGGAGGAAGGCUCUUGGGUCGUAAACCUCUUUUCUCAAGGAAGAAAAAAAUGACGGUACUUGAGGAAUAAGCAUCGGCUAACUCCGUGCCAGCAGCCGCGGUAAUACGGAGGAUGCAAGCGUUAUCCGGAAUGAUUGGGCGUAAAGGGUCCGCAGGUGGUACUGUAAGUCUGCUGUUAAAGAGUCACGCUCAACGUGAUAAGAGCAGUGGAAACUACAGAACUAGAGUGCGUUCGGGGCAGAAGGAAUUCCUGGUGUAGCGGUGAAGUGCGUAGAUAUCAGGAAGAACACCGGUGGCGAAAGCGUUCUGCUAGGCCGCAACUGACACUGAGGGACGAAAGCUAGGGGAGCGAAUGGGAUUAGAUACCCCAGUAGUCCUAGCCGUAAACGAUGGAUACUAGGUGUGGCUUGUAUCGACCCGAGCCGUACCGUAGCUAACGCGUUAAGUAUCCCGCCUGGGGAGUACGCACGCAAGUGUGAAACUCAAAGGAAUUGACGGGGGCCCGCACAAGCGGUGGAGUAUGUGGUUUAAUUCGAUGCAACGCGAAGAACCUUACCAGGGCUU
This 895-nucleotide ribosomal RNA is filed under the name bacterium enrichment culture clone 2g03. RNAcentral describes it as "bacterial SSU rRNA". It matches the Rfam family "Bacterial small subunit ribosomal RNA", at positions 46 to 982 of the family's 1533-position model. The record is from RNAcentral.